Molecule: ribosomal RNA, 468 nt
Filed under: uncultured bacterium
Lineage: Bacteria
Description: partial 16S ribosomal RNA
Rfam family: Bacterial small subunit ribosomal RNA
Source: RNAcentral
GACGAACGCUGGCGGCGUGCUUAACACAUGCAAGUCGAACGGAAAGGCCCUGCUUUUGUGGGGUGCUCGAGUGGCGAACGGGUGAGUAACACGUGAGUAACCUGCCCUUGACUUUGGGAUAACUUCAGGAAACUGGGGCUAAUACCGGAUAGGAGCUCCUGCUGCAUGGUGGGGGUUGGAAAGUUUCGGCGGUUGGGGAUGGACUCGCGGCUUAUCAGCUUGUUGGUGGGGUAGUGGCUUACCAAGGCUUUGACGGGUAGCCGGCCUGAGAGGGUGACCGGCCCCAUUGGGACUGAGAUACGGCCCAGACUCCUACGGGAGGCAGCAGUGGGGAAUAUUGCACAAUGGGCGGAAGCCUGAUGCAGCAACGCCGCGUGCGGGAUGACGGCCUUCGGGUUGUAAACCGCAUUCGCCUGUGACGAAGCGUGAGUGACGGUAAUGGGUAAAGAAGCACCGGCUAACUACGUG